CGGCGUUCGACCGGACCGCGGUACCGAGUGCCACGUCCGGUCUGUCCUUCAGCACCUCCAGGGACAGUGACCUCCCCGGGCAGCCCGUUCCAAUGCCCAGUCACUCCUUCUGCGAAUAAAUUCUUCCUAAUGUCCAACCUAAACUUCCCCGGCGCACCCUGACGCUGUGUGCUCUCGUCCUGUCACUGGUCGCCUGGGAGAAGAGCCCGACCCCCCCACCUGGCUACAACCUCCUUCCAGGAGAGAAACUUCCCCCGGCCGCUGUCCCCGGCCAUCCCCAGGCGGAGGGACAGGUGGGCAGCCACGGGCCGGCCCGUGAGGGCGGUGCCGCCGUCGCCCACAGCAGCACCCCGGUCCCGGCUGGCCCCGGGCGCCUGCGACGGAAAGUCCUGGGCUUGGCUCUGGAAUUGCGCGGGGCUGAGAGGAAAAACGCGUUAACUGCCUUGUUUAAGCAGAGGAAACUGAUAGUGCAUUCCAGUGAUGGUUACUUAGGAGGAACUAAUCAAUAGGAAUACAAUCACUUCUGAAAGAAUUACUACAAGUAAGUUUCACAACCUUUUUUAUGCCUUGCAAAUAAUCAAGCAAAUAUUUCAUGUAUUGGCCAACGAUUUCUUUGCAUUUUGAAUUCACUGUGUGACUGUGUAAAUAAUUCUAGGUAAACUAGGUGGAGAAAAUGCAGUUGUAGUUCUGCAACAUUUAAUAUUGUAGAUUAAAAUAUAAUUACUUUUGAAUAUCUUAUCAGUUUAGAAGGAAAUCCUUCCAGGGAAAGAGGCAAGUUCUUUCUUAACAAGUGUUUCUAAACAAAGGUUACUAGAGAGGUUUAUGUACUGUUUAGCCUGUUAAUUUUUUAAGCUGUUCAGACAUUUGUGAAAUUCCAUGUAAAUCACUCAGUGUAAGAGUGGUCAAGAGAAAAAUACACAGUGCUGACUUCAAGGGAGCAGAAUGACAGUCCCUGAGGCAGGGUGUGAUACACUGCUGUACCACUGCAAUUCAUAAAGUCAGUAGCACAGUAUAGGACAAAUAUCUGAUUUGAAAUGCUAAUUACAUUUUACAUUUGGCUUUGUUUGCAGCUGAUUUCUUACUUCCUUGUACCUUAUUUGUUGUCAACCUUGUUCCUUAAUAGAAUAUCCAGCACUAGAGGAUGCUGGAGGAAUGACUGCAACAUUAACAACUCUGUGUUGGAAAUCCAGAAUCCCAGGAAAGUCGAGUUGUGGUGCCCCUUAGAGGUCUCAGCUCCAACCCAGCCUUGCCAUAAACAGCACACUCGUGUUCUCCUGCCGGAUCCACUGCAGCCAAAGGGAAGGCAGUCACCUGGAAGGGACUCCAUUGUGUGACACACUCUGUUUCCUUAGGACUGGGCAACAGGUGAUGGCAUCUUGUGAAAACAUCAAUGGGUCACCAAAAGGAAAAAAUACAACGAGAAUGAAACUGUAAAUGCUCAUCUCAGUUACAAGAAUAUUUAAUAUUACAGAGUUCUUGGUUUUUAAAGAGUGGCUGUUAGCAAGCAAGGAUACAGUCUGAGAGGAGUGGGAAUAAAAUGAGCCUCGAUCUUAUUUACCUCAAGCAGCUGCUGAAUCUCCAGUGUGUCCUGUUCCAUAAGCAGCUGCAGAGUGGAAUUUUUUGAACAGUUGUGUUGAGUUUCAUAGCAAGGAAAACUGUUUUGUUGACAAGUGGUUGUUACCAUGAUCUCUACUGAAAGUAAGAUGUCGGAAGGAAGAGUGAGUCCAAAUGUACUGUUUAUUUCAGAGUUGUGGGGUAUCUUUUUAGGCACAAUGUUUUUAGCAUUCUGAGUAAAUGCUGCUGCUUUAAACAGGCUAAAACUAAUAUAAACAAACUGAACUGAAGGCUUGUAGCUGUUAGAAAUAAGUCAGUCAUGAUGAAAUAUCUUUGUAUUUUAAAGCCUAACAAACUGACAAGUGUAAAUUAACAGGAGAAUAUCUCCUAGCUUACAUGCAAGUAAAAGGUUGUGUGGAGUGUUGUUUAGUCAUGACACCCUCCAAAUUCUCUCCUGCCUAACCCAGACAUGGCUGUUCAGUUGUAGGGCUGCCCGUUUCACAUUCUUAAUCCAUAGGCACUAAUUCUAACUGAAGGAUCUUACAAGGAGUGGUAUGUACAUCCAGUAUAUCUUUUACAUACCCUUUCCCCAAAGUUUACUAGAACUUGGUAGCUGAUGGAGCAAAGAUUGUCUUUGGGUUUAGGUUUGUGUUGCCUUUAGCAGUUGUUGCUAUCGUUCAUGUUGCUAAUGUUUUGUAGCUUUUAUUAGGACAUUUUUUCUGGAGGCUGCAUGUUCCAUUGGCACAGUGUAUUCCUGAUCCACACAGUGGACUUGGAGGGCACUGACAGAGUAAGAGUUCAUAGGGAUAAACAGCUGAUUGCAUGGCUUAGAAGGAAGGUGGUGUUCCAAUGGACUAAUAAGGGUAGCACCAUUGCAAGCAAGUUGCAAUGUCUUUGCUGUCUUAAAAUAAUGCCAGAUCUCAGUGAAAGAUCCCAGCACGAGUAGCUGCAUGAACUUCUGGGCUUAAUUCAUGAUAUCCUUAAAAUGUAUUCUUGCAGAAAGCACCUGAUGUUGCUACAAACCAUGCAUGAGGUCCGCCUAGACCAGAACACUGUAAUACACCCCUACUUUUAGAAGUCACUAAAGUGGUGGAGUUUACCAGGUGUUUGAUACAGUUUAUUAGUUAAAUGGAGGUGAGGGAAAACAUGGUGUGGGAUGGAAGCAUUAAUUUGAGUUACCUUGGUGUUCAUGAACACUAAGUCGGUCUCCUGUUCCAAAUUAGACUUAAAUCUAGUUUUUCUCUCUGUUGGACUAAAAUGUCUUGUUUUUAUGAGUAAACACCUUGGGUUGUACUAUUUUAGAACAUCUGGGUAAGUUUAUGCCAACUGAAAUUCUUUGGACGUUGUGGUGAAAGUAAUCUUAAUCUGAUUUACCUGGUUUUCCAUACUUGUUAUUCCUGUGAGAGAGGAUCUUCCUGAGAUAUCUGUUCCUCUAAAUUCUUUCCCCAGAAAAAAUAUUUAGUUGGAAUUAUUUGCUUAUUGUUCUUGGUUCCAUUUCAUUUUCAUUUCA
Long non-coding RNA from Chiroxiphia lanceolata (lance-tailed manakin), 3064 nucleotides. RefSeq lists it as uncharacterized. The record is from RefSeq and is a predicted model, not a curated record. NCBI's taxonomy places the organism in Eukaryota, Metazoa, Chordata, Aves, Passeriformes, Pipridae. The transcript is spliced from 5 exons.